Long non-coding RNA from Aedes aegypti (yellow fever mosquito), 372 nucleotides. RefSeq lists it as uncharacterized. The record is from RefSeq and is a predicted model, not a curated record. Lineage: Eukaryota; Metazoa; Arthropoda; Insecta; Diptera; Culicidae. The transcript has 2 exons.
GGAAAUUUUUCUUAACAACCGUAAUAUAUCGGUGAUUUCGUCCCAUUUUAACGAGUACAGUAAUUUCAUUCACCGAAAAUAUCUGUAAAACGGAUCCAAUACCGAGUUCGGUAAAUUAUUACUGAACCAUCAGUAAAUUUGAACUGUCAACUCCGGCCUCCGACAGAAAAAGUCAAAUACGUAGUGCAACGCAAUUCUCCUGAAAGGCGCAACGAAGGCGAUGGGUUACGAAAUUAGCGUAAUAAUUCAUCAUAAUCCAUCAGAAACUGUUGAAGCUAACGUUCACUCCUCUUUCAUCGAGCACCAUGGAGGUCGAAAUCGGAAUGAGAGGACUGGCAAAAAGUGCGGCACUGGUGGAAAUAUUAUACUUAA